RNAcentral lists this ribosomal RNA (557 nucleotides) under uncultured bacterium. RNAcentral describes it as "bacterial SSU rRNA". It matches the Rfam family "Bacterial small subunit ribosomal RNA", at positions 102 to 694 of the family's 1533-position model. The record is from RNAcentral.
ACGGGUGAGUAACGCGUGGGAAUCUACCGUACCCUACGGAAUAGCUCCGGGAAACUGGAAGUAAUACCGUAUACGCCCUUCGGGGGAAAGAUUUAUCGGGGUAUGAUGAGCCCGCGUUGGAUUAGCUAGUUGGUGGGGUAAAGGCCUACCAAGGCGACGAUCCAUAGCUGGUCUGAGAGGAUGAUCAGCCACAUUGGGACUGAGACACGGCCCAAACUCCUACGGGAGGCAGCAGUGGGGAAUAUUGGACAAUGGGCGCAAGCCUGAUCCAGCCAUGCCGCGUGAGUGAUGAAGGUCUUAGGAUUGUAAAGCUCUUUCACCGAUGAAGAUAAUGACGGUAGUCGGAGAAGAAGCCCCGGCAAACUUCGUGCCAGCAGCCGCGGUAAUACGAAGGGGGCUAGCGUUGUUCGGAAUUACUGGGCGUAAAGCGCACGUAGGCGGAUAAUUAAGUCAGGGGUGAAAUCCCGCAGCUCAACUGCGGAACUGCCUUUGAUACUGGUUAUCUUGAGUAUGGAAGAGGUAAGUGGAAUUGCGAGUGUAGAGGUGAAAUUCGUAGA